RNAcentral lists this long non-coding RNA (1136 nucleotides) under Apteryx owenii (little spotted kiwi). RNAcentral's name for it is "lncRNA (ENSAOWG00000004181.1)". The record is from RNAcentral. Lineage: Eukaryota; Metazoa; Chordata; Aves; Apterygiformes; Apterygidae.
NNNNGCGUUUGGGGGUGCUCCUCGCGGGGGGGGGGGUGCUGGGGUGCUCCUCCCCGGGACGGUACUCGGCGGUACUCCUCCCUGGGGGCGGUACUUCUCCCUGGGGGGUGGUACUUGAGCGGUACUUGGGUGGUAUUUCUCCUUGGGGAUGGUACUUGGGUGGUACUUGGGCGGUACUUCUCCUUGGGGGGUGGUACUUGAGUGGUACUUGGGCGGUAAUCCUCCUUGGGGGUGGUACUUGAGCUGUACUUGGGUGGUACUUCUCCCUGGGGGGUGGUACUUGAGUGAUACUUGGGCGGUACUCCUCCCUGGGGGCGGUACUUGGGCGGUACUUCUUCUUGGGGGUGGUACUUGGGCAGCACUUGGGAGGUACUUCUCCUUGGGGGCGGUACUUGGGCUGUAGUUGGGUGGUACUUGGGAGGUACUUCUCCUUGGGGGCGGUACUUGGGCGGUACUUGGGCAGCACUCCUCCUUGGGGGCAGUACUUGGGUGGUACUCCUCCUCAGGGGCGGUACUUCCUGGUCCUUUGUGGCACACCUCCUUGGGGUGGUACUUCGUGGUACUUGGGUGCUAUUUUCGUCAGAGGUGGUAUUUUGUGGUGCUUCCGGCCAGGGGCGGUACUCCUGCUCCGUGGUGGUGCCCUGCGGUGCCCCUGGGGGGUGCUGCUCUGCGGUGGUACUCCUCAGUGGCAGUACUCCGCAGUACUCCUCCUCAGUGGCAGUACUCCUCCUCAGCGGCGGUACUCUGUGGUACUCCUUGGGGGUGUUGUUCUGUGGUAUUCCUGGAGAACGUUAUGCUGUGGCACUUCUCCUCAGGGCUGUUACUCCAUGGUACUCCUCCUCGGAGGUGUUGCUCUCCCCCCCCCCUCCAGGGGUGUUAUUCUGUGGUACUCCUCCUCAGGGGUGGUACUCUGGCCCUUCAGUGGGGUGUUACUCCGUGGUACUCCUCCUCAGGCCUGUUACUCCACGGUACUCCUCCUUGGGGGUGGCACUCUGGCCCUCCUGUGGGGUGUUACUCCGUGGUACUCCUCCCCGGGGGUGGCACUCUGGCCCUCCUGUGGGGUGUUACUCUGUGGUACUCCUCCUCGGGGGUGGCACUCUGGCCCUCCUGUGGGGUGUUACUCCGUGGUACUCCUC